GGUUAGUUAGCAUAAUGGUAAUGUUUUGGUCUGCAAAGCUUAAAGAUGUAUGUUCAAAUCAUACACUAACCU
RNAcentral lists this transfer RNA (72 nucleotides) under Linnemannia gamsii. Its description in RNAcentral is "Mortierella gamsii tRNA". It matches the Rfam family "tRNA". Rfam says of the family: Transfer RNA (tRNA) molecules are approximately 80 nucleotides in length. Their secondary structure includes four short double-helical elements and three loops (D, anti-codon, and T loops). Lineage: Eukaryota; Fungi; Mortierellomycota; Mortierellomycetes; Mortierellales; Mortierellaceae. The record is from Rfam by way of RNAcentral.